This 465-nucleotide ribosomal RNA is filed under the name Vreelandella stevensii. RNAcentral describes it as "partial 16S ribosomal RNA". It matches the Rfam family "Bacterial small subunit ribosomal RNA", at positions 338 to 795 of the family's 1533-position model. The record is from RNAcentral. Lineage: Bacteria; Pseudomonadati; Pseudomonadota; Gammaproteobacteria; Oceanospirillales; Halomonadaceae.
CCUACGGGGGGCUGCAGUGGGGAAUAUUGGACAAUGGGCGAAAGCCUGAUCCAGCCAUGCCGCGUGUGUGAAGAAGGCCUUCGGGUUGUAAAGCACUUUCAGUGGGGAAGAAAGCCUUGGGGCUAAUACCCUCGAGGAAGGACAUCACCCACAGAAGAAGCACCGGCUAACUCCGUGCCAGCAGCCGCGGUACUACGGAGGGUGCGAGCGUUAAUCGGAAUUACUGGGCGUAAAGCGCGCGUAGGCGGUCUGAUAAGCCGGUUGUGAAAGCCCCGGGCUAAACCUGGGAACGGCAUCCGGAACUGUCAGGCUAGAGUGCAGGAGAGGAAGGUAGAAUUCCCGGUGUAGCGGUGAAAUGCGUAGAGAUCGGGAGGAAUACCAGUGGCGAAGGCGGCCUUCUGGACUGACACUGACGCUGAGGUGCGAAAGCGUGGGUAGCAAACAGGAUUAGAUACCCCUGUAGUC